GGCGAUCUUUCUCUUGAAGUCAUGAGUUUCUCAUCAUCGUCCAUGGAUUCUUUAGAUGAACCAUUAUCACCCCUUUUCUCUUCAUCAGCGUCUGAGCUUGAUUCGCUUGAAUCAGAAUCAGCUGAGGAAGAAGAGAUUGAGAAUUUGAAGAAUUCAUCAUCUGUGAAACUAUUGGCAGGAGGAGGCCUAUUUCCUCCACCAAUUUCUUGCUUAAACUUAUUCAAAACAGGGAGACCUUGCACAUACCUUUCUUUCAGUGAAGAAGAUGGUAGCUUUGCCCUUGAGAAGAUAAGAAUCCCUAGGAGAGACAUGUUUAUUGCUAGUAGAGAAGAUGGGAGGCUGAAGCUGUUCUUUCAUCAGGAAGACCAAGAAGAAGAUGAUGAAGAGGAAGAGGAAGAAGCAGGAGACGAUCAAGAAGAAGAAGAAGCAGAAAAAGGAGAAGAAGAAGGAGAAGAGAAGGAGGAGAAUUGAUCAAAUGAAGUCGUAAGUUAAAGAGUGUUAUGGUGUUUUCUUGAGCAAAUUUGUUUGGUAGUGUGUGUGCGUGUCUUGAGAGACUUUGCUUCUAUGUUUUUAGAUUUGCCUUUGCCUUUGAAUGAUGUUGUUUGCCAAAGAAAAAUUAGGCAAUUUAAUGUUUUCCUUAAGUUAGAUCUAAAAGAAAAAUUCUUCUUCAUUCC
This 674-nucleotide long non-coding RNA is filed under the name Manihot esculenta (cassava). RNAcentral describes it as "long non-coding RNA (MESC_LNC005920)". The record is from RNAcentral. Lineage: Eukaryota; Viridiplantae; Streptophyta; Magnoliopsida; Malpighiales; Euphorbiaceae.